This 464-nucleotide ribosomal RNA is filed under the name uncultured bacterium. Its description in RNAcentral is "partial 16S ribosomal RNA". It matches the Rfam family "Bacterial small subunit ribosomal RNA", at positions 28 to 506 of the family's 1533-position model. The record is from RNAcentral.
GACGAACGCUGGCGGCGUGCUUAACACAUGCAAGUCGUACGGUAAGGCCCUUUCGGGGGUACACGAGUGGCGAACGGGUGAGUAACACGUGAGUAACCUGCCCACAACUUUGGGAUAACGCUAGGAAACUGGUGCUAAUACUGGAUAUGUGCUCCUGCUGCAUGGUGGGGGUUGGAAAGCUCCGGCGGUUGUGGAUGGACUCGCGGCCUAUCAGCUUGUUGGUGGGGUAGUGGCCUACCAAGGCGGCGACGGGUAGCCGGCCUGAGAGGGUGACCGGCCACAUUGGGACUGAGAUACGGCCCAGACUCCUACGGGAGGCAGCAGUGGGGAAUAUUGCACAAUGGGCGCAAGCCUGAUGCAGCAACGCCGCGUGCGGGAUGACGGCCUUCGGGUUGUAAACCGCUUUCAGCAGGGACGAAGCUUUUUGUGACGGUACCUGCAGAAGAAGCACCGGCAAACUACGG